RNAcentral lists this ribosomal RNA (580 nucleotides) under Rhodothemis rufa. RNAcentral describes it as "partial 12S ribosomal RNA". Lineage: Eukaryota; Metazoa; Arthropoda; Insecta; Odonata; Libellulidae. The record is from RNAcentral.
GAAAAAGUAAAUAUUAUUGGUUAAAGUAGUUAAAUAGAUAUUUUCUUUAAAUUUGAAUGUUAUUAGGUGAAAUUUUAAUUUUAUUGAAAUGGAUUUUUAUUGAAGCUGCGAAAUUUAAUUUGUAGACGAGGAUUAGAUACCCUUUUAUUUUAAAUGUAAAUAUUUAACCUGGGUAGUAAUAGUUAUGUUCUUGAAACCCAAAGAAUUUGGCGGUACUUUAUUCUUUUUAGAGGAACCUGUCCUGUAAUUGAUAUUCCACGAGGAUGAAUUACUUAUUUUUGUUUUCAUUUUGUAUACCUCCGUCAUAAGAGUAUCUUUUUAGAGUUAAUAUUCUAUAAAUACAUAAUAUAAGAUGUCAGGUCAAGGUGCAAUUUAUAGAUAAGUAGAGAUGGGUUACAAUAAAUUUAUUUAUAUGGAUUAAUAUUGUUAAUUAUAUUAUGAAGGUGGAUUUAAAAGUAAAAUUAAUUUCUUAUUAAUUUGAUUUUAGCUCUAAAGUAUGCACACAUCGCCCGUCGCUCUUAUUUUAAAAUAAGAUAAGUCGUAACAUAGUAGGAGUACCGGAAGGUGUUCCUAGUAAGUA